Molecule: long non-coding RNA, 1585 nt
Organism: Populus trichocarpa (black cottonwood)
Lineage: Eukaryota; Viridiplantae; Streptophyta; Magnoliopsida; Malpighiales; Salicaceae
Exons: 5
Source: RefSeq, a predicted model, not a curated record
CAGAGAAGAAUAAUGAAGAGAGGAACAGAGAAGAGAAACAAUGGGGUCCUCUGUAGAGAUGAGCAUUGCAAGAUUAUGUCCUCCCUCUUCUUCUCCUUCAGAUAGUGCUUCAUCAGUCACAUAAUCUGUUAACCAGGUAUGUGAGCAUAAGCCACACAUCCAAACACACUGAAACACUCAACACUAGGCUUCCUGUUACUCCAAGCUUCUUCAGGAGUAGUAUUGGGAACAGCUGUGGUGGGGCUUCUAUUUAUCACAUAGAUGGACCAAUUUACAGCCUCUGCCCAGAAUUGCUUUGGUAAUUCCUUCCCUGACAACAUGCUGCGCACCAUAUUCAUUAUGGUGCGAUUCUUUCUCUCUGCAACCCCAUUCUGCUGUGGGGUGUAUGCUGUGGUAAGUUGUCUCUUGAUUCCAUGUGUGCUGCAAAAAUCAUUAAAUUCACUUGAGGUGAACUCUCCCCCUCUGUCAGUUCUUAAACAACUGAUUCUUUCACCACUUUCUUUUUCCACACUCACUUUAUAUUUCUUGAAUAUAGACAGUGCUUCAGAUUUGUGUAAUAGAAAAUAUGCUCAAGUUUUUCUACUAUAAUCAUCUAUAAAAGUGAUUAUGUACCUUUUCCCACUGUUUGAUUGUGGUGAAAUGGGUCCACAAAUAUCUGCAUGGACAAGUUGUAGUUUCUUGGAUGCUCUCCACAGACUUUUCUUUGGCAAUGUCUCUCUAUGCUGCUUUCCUUUCAUGCAAUCUUGACAGACUUUUAAUGAGUCAUUCAGUGCAGGUAAACCCUUGACCAUCUCCAUUGAAACCAAGGUUUUCAGCCCCUUUAGGCUUAGAUGCCCAUAUCGACAGUGCCAUAGAUUGGUGACAUCUUCAGAUGUUGCUUGUAGACAACUAGCCAUUGGAGUUAUCACAGUAGCAACUGGCCUAUGCUCAGGAGGUUGUUCUUCAAUUCAGUUUCAUGGAAUCCCAGAUGGCCUUUGAAGUCUCCUUAUUGAGUAUAGUUUCAAUGAUGGUUCUGUCAAUGGCUUGAAAUAGGUAGUUCUUGACCUUUAAAUCCUUCAAUUUUUCUUCUUCAAUUACUUUCUGUUGUGCUGCUGAUUGUGCUCCUUCUCCUCUUGCUGCACCAAUCCCUUUUUCUAUUAGACUCCAGUAUUCUUUGGACUUAAGAAAGUUCUCCAUAAGCAUAGACCAAUGGUCAUAAUGACCAUCAAAUCUUGGUAUUGCUGCCUGCACAAAAUUGUUUGAUUCUGUUGUCAUUGAUUGAUCUUUUCUGCUUUGCUUUUCUUUUUCAAGAAAACUCAGUUUCUUGAUGUUCUUUAUUUGAUUUUAGUGAUAUGGCUCUGAUACCAUAUGUUGUGAAGAGACAGAGAAUAUGGUUGAAGUAAUAAGAAGAUUUGCAGAGAAGAAUAAUGAAGAGAGGAACAGAGAAGAGAAACAAUGGGUAAGUGAAUGAUUUCUAAUUCAUGACUUUAUUUGCUUGUAAUCGUUGCUAUUUAUACAUGAGCUUAGCUGGGUAUUAUCUAUACAAGAUUCCCGUUGGUUAUAACCAACUGUAACAGAAUACAAUCUUCAACUGCUAUCUCACAGC